This is a ribosomal RNA of Microcebus murinus (gray mouse lemur), 119 nucleotides long. NCBI's taxonomy places the organism in Eukaryota, Metazoa, Chordata, Mammalia, Primates, Cheirogaleidae. The record is from Ensembl.
GCCUACGGCCAUACCACCCUGAAUGCCCCCAAUCAUCUGAUCUUGGAAGUCGAGCAGGGUCGGGCCUGGUUAGUACUUGGGUAGGAGAUUUCCAGGGACUGAACAUGCCACCUGAGGAG